GAUGAACGCUGGCGGCGUGCCUAAUACAUGCAAGUCGAGCGAACAGACGAGGAGCUUGCUCCUCUGACGUUAGCGGCGGACGGGUGAGUAACACGUGGAUAACCUACCUAUAAGACUGGGAUAACUUCGGGAAACCGGAGCUAAUACCGGAUAAUAUAUUGAACCGCAUGGUUCAAUAGUGAAAGACGGUUUUGCUGUCACUUAUAGAUGGAUCCGCGCCGCAUUAGCUAGUUGGUAAGGUAACGGCUUACCAAGACGACGAUGCGUAGCCGACCUGAGAGGGUGAUCGGCCACACUGGAACUGAGACACGGUCCAGACUCCUACGGGAGGCAGCAGUAGGGAAUCUUCCGCAAAGGGCGAAAGCCUGACGGAGCAACGCCGCGUGAGUGAUGAAGGUCUUCGGAUCGUAAAACUCUGUUAUUAGGGAAGAACAAAUGUGUAAGUAACUAUGCACGUCUUGACGGUACCUAAUCAGAAAGCCACGGCUAACUACGUG
This 497-nucleotide ribosomal RNA is filed under the name uncultured bacterium. RNAcentral's name for it is "partial 16S ribosomal RNA". It matches the Rfam family "Bacterial small subunit ribosomal RNA", at positions 28 to 507 of the family's 1533-position model. The record is from RNAcentral.